CCUACGGGCGGCAGCAGUAGGGAAUCUUUCACAAUGGGCGAAAGCCUGAUGGAGCAACGCCGCGUGCAGGAUGAAGGCCUUCGGGUUGUAAACUGCUUUUAUAAGCGAGAAAUAUGAUGGUAACUUAUGAAUAAGGAUCGGCUAACUACGUGCCAGCAGCCGCGGUCAUACGUAGGAUCCGAGCAUUAUCCGGAGUGACUGGGUGUAAAGAGUUGCGUAGGUGGCAUAAUAAGUAGCUAGUGAAAUCUGGUGGCUCAACCAUUCAGACUAUUAGCUAAACUGUUAAGCUCGAGACCGUUAGAGGUAACUGGAAUGUCUAGUGUAGGAGUGAAAUCCGUAGAUAUUAGAAGGAACACCAAUAGCGUAGGCAGGUUGCUGGGACGGUUCUGACACUAAGGCACGAAAGCGUAGGGAGCAAACGGGAUUAGAUACCCUAGUAGUC
This 442-nucleotide ribosomal RNA is filed under the name uncultured bacterium. RNAcentral's name for it is "partial 16S ribosomal RNA". It matches the Rfam family "Bacterial small subunit ribosomal RNA", at positions 338 to 795 of the family's 1533-position model. The record is from RNAcentral.